This 476-nucleotide ribosomal RNA is filed under the name uncultured anaerobic ammonium-oxidizing bacterium. RNAcentral's name for it is "bacterial SSU rRNA". It matches the Rfam family "Bacterial small subunit ribosomal RNA", at positions 365 to 832 of the family's 1533-position model. The record is from RNAcentral.
UUCGCAAUGCCCGAAAGGGUGACGAUGCGACGCCGCGUGAGCGAAGAAGGCCCUAGGGUUGUAAAGCUCUGUCGAGGGUUAUGAAAUAUAGAUGGGUUAAUACCCCAUUUAUUUGACAAAAGCCCAAAAGGAAGCCACGGCUAACUCUGUGCCAGCAGCCGCGGUAAUACAGAGGUGGCGAGCGUUGUUCGGUAUUAUUGGGCGUAAAGAGCACGUAGGUGGUUUUGUAAGUCAGGUGUGAAAGCCUUCUGUUCAAAGGAAGAACGGCAUCUGAAACUGCAUAUCUUGAGUGUAGGAGGGGAGAGUGGAACUUCUGGUGGAGCGGUGAAAUGCGUAGAUAUCAGAAGGAACGCCGGCGGCGAAAGCGACUCUCUGGCCUAUUACUGACACUGAGGUGCGAAAGUUAGGGGAGCAAACGGGAUUAGAUACCCCGGUAGUCCUAACCGUAAACGAUGGGCACUAAGUAGAGGGGUUUU